Molecule: ribosomal RNA, 468 nt
Filed under: Lancefieldella rimae
Lineage: Bacteria; Bacillati; Actinomycetota; Coriobacteriia; Coriobacteriales; Atopobiaceae
Description: bacterial SSU rRNA
Rfam family: Bacterial small subunit ribosomal RNA
Source: RNAcentral
GAUGAACGCUGGCGGCGCGCCUAGCACAUGCAAGUCGAACGGUUAAAGCACCUUUUAGGUGUGUAUAAAGUGGCGAACGGCUGAGUAACACGUGGGCAACCUGCCCUCCUCUUGGGGAUAGCCUCGGGAAACCGAGGAUAAUACCCGAUACUUCAAUGUGGCCGCAUGACGACAUUGAGAAAGCUUUUGCGGAGAAGGAUGGGCCCGCGGCCUGUUAGCUUGUUGGUGGGGUAGAGGCCUACCAAGGCAAUGAUGGGUAGCUGGGUUGAGAGACCGACCAGCCAGAUUGGGACUGAGACACGGCCCAGACUCCUACGGGAGGCAGCAGUGGGGAAUCUUGCACAAUGGGCGAAAGCCUGAUGCAGCGACGCCGCGUGCGGGACGAAGGCCUUUCGGGUUGUAAACCGCUUUUCAGCAGGGACGAGGCGAAAGUGACGGUACCUGCAGAAGAAGCCCCGCUAACUACCA